GUGCUGCUUCAGCAGCACAUAUGCUGAAAUUGGAACAAUACAGAGAUUAGCAUGGCCCCUGAGCAAGGAUGACAUGCAAAUUCGUGAAGUGUUCCAUAUUCAU
Small nuclear RNA from Eptesicus fuscus (big brown bat), 103 nucleotides. Lineage: Eukaryota; Metazoa; Chordata; Mammalia; Chiroptera; Vespertilionidae. The record is from RefSeq and is a predicted model, not a curated record.